Molecule: long non-coding RNA, 238 nt
Organism: Dreissena polymorpha
Lineage: Eukaryota; Metazoa; Mollusca; Bivalvia; Myida; Dreissenidae
Exons: 3
Source: RefSeq, a predicted model, not a curated record
UGAAAGGUCAAGGUCAAGGUCAUCCUUCAAGGUCAGAGGUCAAAUAUAUGUGGCCCAAAUCGCUUAUUUUAUAAAUACUUUUGCAAUAUUGAAGAUAGCAUCUUGAUAUUUGGCAUGCAUGUGCAUCUCAUGGAGCUGCACAUUUUGAGUGGUGAAAGGUCAAGGUCAAGGUCAUCCUUCACAAGGUCAAGGUCAUCCUACAAGGUCAAACAUCAUAUAGGGGGACAUUGUGUUUCAC